GAUGAACGCUGGCGGCGUGCCUAAUACAUGCAAGUCGAGCGAACCAAAGAGAGCUUGCUCUCUGAGGUUAGCGGCGGACGGGGGAGUAACACGUGGGGAACCUGCCUGUAAGACGGGGAUAACUUCGGGAAACCGAAGCUAAUACCGGAUGAUAAAGAGAAACGCCUGUUUCUUUUUUGAAAGUCGGCCUUGUGCUGACGCUUACAGAUGGGCCCGGGGCGCAUUAGCUAGUUGGUGAGGUAACGGCUCACCAAGGCGAGGAUGCGUAGCCGACCUGAGAGGGUGAUCGGCCACACGGGGACUGAGACACGGCCCAGACUCCUACGGGAGGCAGCAGUAGGGAAGCUGCGGCAAUGGACGAAAGUCUGACCGAGCAACGCCGCGUGAGCGAUGAAGGCCUUCGGGUCGUAAAGCUCUGUUGUCAGAGAAGAACAAGUACCGGAGUAACUGCCGGUACCUUGACGGUACCUGACCAGAAAGCCACGGCUAACUACGUGCCAGCAGCCGCCGUAA
Molecule: ribosomal RNA, 513 nt
Filed under: uncultured bacterium
Lineage: Bacteria
Description: partial 16S ribosomal RNA
Rfam family: Bacterial small subunit ribosomal RNA
Source: RNAcentral